This 946-nucleotide ribosomal RNA is filed under the name uncultured organism. Its description in RNAcentral is "bacterial SSU rRNA". It matches the Rfam family "Bacterial small subunit ribosomal RNA", at positions 25 to 969 of the family's 1533-position model. The record is from RNAcentral.
CAGAACGAACGCUAGCGGCGCGUUCAGGCAUGCAGUGAACGGUACCAGGCCCUUUUGGGUGCUGACGAGUGACGCACGGGUGAGUAACGCGUAGGUAAUCUACCUAUUGGACUGGGAUAGCUCUACGAAAGUAGGAUUAAAACCAGAUACAUUUAUCUAAUCUUAAGAUUAAAUAAAGAAAUGUCUAAGCCGAUAGAUGAGCCUGCGUUAGAUUAGUUAGUAGGUGUGGUAAUGGCGCACCUAGGCAUCGAUCUAUAGCCGAGUUGAGAGGCUAAUCGGCCACAUUGGAACUGAGACACGGUCCAGACUCCUACGGGAGGCAGCAGCUAAGAAUCUUCCGCAAUGGUUGAGAGACUGACGGAGCGACGCCGCGUGAAUGAUGAAGGCCUUUUAGGUUGUAAAAUUCUUUUAUAAUAGAUGAAAGUAUAGAUAUAGUUUAUGCUGACCGUAUAUUAUGAAUAAGGUCCGGCUAACUACGUGCCAGCAGCCGCGGUAAAACGUAGGGACCUAGCGUUGUUCGGAAUUACUGGGCGUAAAGGGUAUGCAGGCUGUUAUAUAAGUCAGAUGUGAAAGACCCGGGCUCAACCUUGGAAUUGCGUCUGAUACUGUAUAACUUGGGUAGCUGAGAGGAAGUCGGAAUUCCUGGUGUAGGGGUGAAAUCUAUAGAUAUCAGGAAGAACACCAGUAGCGUAGGCGGACUUCUGGCAGCUUACCGACGCUGAGGUACGAAAGGUAGGGUAGCAAACAGGAUUAGAGACCCUGGUAGUCCUACCUGUAAACGUUGUAUACUAGGUGGUGGAAGUUUAAUAUCUUACUCUGCCGGAAGUAACGCAGGAAGUAUACCGCCUGGGGAGUAUGACGGCAACGGUGAAACUCUAAGGAAUUGACGGGGCCCCGACACAACCAGUGGUGCAUGUUGAGUUAGCUCCGAUGAUAUGCGAGGAAC